CCUACGGGAGGCAGCAGUGGGGAAUCUUGCGCAAUGGGCGAAAGCCUGACGCAGCCAUGCCGCGUGAAUGAUGAAGGUCUUAGGAUUGUAAAAUUCUUUCACCGGGGACGAUAAUGACGGUACCCGGAGAAGAAGCCCCGGCUAACUUCGUGCCAGCAGCCGCGGUAAUACGAAGGGGGCUAGCGUUGCUCGGAAUUACUGGGCGUAAAGGGAGCGUAGGCGGAUAGUUUAGUCAGAGGUGAAAGCCCAGGGCUCAACCUUGGAAUUGCCUUUGAUACUGGCUAUCUUGAGUUUGGGAGAGGUGAGUGGAACUCCGAGUGUAGAGGUGAAAUUCGUAGAUAUUCGGAAGAACACCAGUGGCGAAGGCGACUCACUGGCCCAAUACUGACGCUGAGGCUCGAAAGCGUGGGGAGCAAACAGGAUUAGAUACCCUGGUAGUCCACGCCGUAAACGAUGAGUGCUAGUUGUCGGCAUGCAUGCAUGUCGGUGCGCAGCUACGCAUAGCACUCCGCCGUCGGGAGGUACGGUCGCGAGAGUAAACGUACGUAAGUUAAGUUAGUACGCGUUGAGAGNGCGAGGACGACGACGAGGAGAGG
RNAcentral lists this ribosomal RNA (596 nucleotides) under uncultured bacterium. RNAcentral's name for it is "bacterial SSU rRNA". The stretch from base 1 to 513 matches the Rfam family "Bacterial small subunit ribosomal RNA", at positions 338 to 873 of the family's 1533-position model. The record is from RNAcentral.